CAGAACGGGGGAGAACAUGGAGGCCGGGUACCUGGAGGAGAAGACUCAUGGGGACCGGCGAUCAUCGCAGACAUCCAGCGGAGAUGCCGACUCAGCGGUGGGUGCCAGGCAAUAUGUGGCAGCCGACUCCUGCUGCCGAUGAUACUCAGCACAGCUGUGGCGCCAGCCGUGUUUGUUGAAGAAGGCGUCCAAGGAGGUUUCCAAGAAAACCAUGACCACUGUGUCCUCCAACAUCACUACUGCCUCCUCCAAGGAGACCGCCAUUACCGCCUCUGGUCACUAGAUUAUCC
Hyla sarda is the source of this 290-nucleotide long non-coding RNA. RefSeq lists it as uncharacterized. Lineage: Eukaryota; Metazoa; Chordata; Amphibia; Anura; Hylidae. The transcript has 3 exons. The record is from RefSeq and is a predicted model, not a curated record.